AGUGAACGCUGGCGGUAGGCCUAACACAUGCAAGUCGAACGGCAGCACAGUAAGAGCUUGCUCUUACGGGUGGCGAGUGGCGGACGGGUGAGGAAUACAUCGGAAUCUACUUUUUCGUGGGGGAUAACGUAGGGAAACUUACGCUAAUACCGCAUACGACCUACGGGUGAAAGCAGGGGAUCUUCGGACCUUGCGCGAUUGAAUGAGCCGAUGUCGGAUUAGCUAGUUGGCGGGGUAAAGGCCCACCAAGGCGACGAUCCGUAGCUGGUCUGAGAGGAUGAUCAGCCACACUGGAACUGAGACACGGUCCAGACUCCUACGGGAGGCAGCAGUGGGGAAUAUUGGACAAUGGGCGCGAGCCUGAUCCAGCCAUACCGCGUGGGUGAAGAAGGACUUCGGGUUGUAAAGCCCUUUUGUUGGGAGAGAAAAGCAGCAGGUUAAUACCCCGCUGUUCUGACGGUACCCAAAGAAUAAGCACCGGCUAACUUCGUG
This 492-nucleotide ribosomal RNA is filed under the name uncultured bacterium. RNAcentral describes it as "partial 16S ribosomal RNA". It matches the Rfam family "Bacterial small subunit ribosomal RNA", at positions 29 to 507 of the family's 1533-position model. The record is from RNAcentral.